GUAGUCCACGCCGUAAACGAUGUCAACUAGCCGUUGGGGACCUUAGUGUCCUUGGUGGCGUAGCUAACGCGCUAAGUUGACCGCCUGGGGAGUACGGUCGCAAGAUUAAAACUCAAAUGAAUUGACGGGGGCCCGCACAAGCGGUGGAGCAUGUGGUUUAAUUCGACGCAACGCGAAGAACCUUACCAGGUCUUGACAUCCAGAGAACUUUCCAGAGAUGGAUUGGUGCCUUCGGGAGCUCUGAGACAGGUGCUGCAUGGCUGUCGUCAGCUCGUGUCGUGAGAUGUUGGGUUAAGUCCCGUAACGAGCGCAACCCUUAUCCUUAUUUGCCAGCGGGUAAUGCCGGGAAC
Molecule: ribosomal RNA, 350 nt
Filed under: uncultured Gammaproteobacteria bacterium
Lineage: Bacteria; Pseudomonadati; Pseudomonadota; Gammaproteobacteria
Description: bacterial SSU rRNA
Rfam family: Bacterial small subunit ribosomal RNA
Source: RNAcentral